Molecule: ribosomal RNA, 567 nt
Filed under: uncultured bacterium
Lineage: Bacteria
Description: partial 16S ribosomal RNA
Rfam family: Bacterial small subunit ribosomal RNA
Source: RNAcentral
UGGGGAAUAUUGCACAAUGGGCGAAAGCCUGAUGCAGCAACGCCGCGUGAGUGAUGAAGGCCUUCGGGUUGUAAAGCUCUGUCUUUUGGGACGAUAAUGACGGUACCAAAGGAGGAAGCCACGGCUAACUACGUGCCAGCAGCCGCGGUAAUACGUAGGUGGCAAGCGUUGUCCGGAUUUACUGGGCGUAAAGGAUGCGUAGGCGGAUUUUUAAGUGAGAUGUGAAAUACCCGGGCUUAACUUGGGUGCUGCAUUUCAAACUGGGAAUCUAGAGUGCGGGAGAGGAGAAUGGAAUUCCUAGUGUAGCGGUGAAAUGCGUAGAGAUUAGGAAGAACACCAGUGGCGAAGGCGAUUCUCUGGACCGUAACUGACGCUGAGGCAUGAAAGCGUGGGUAGCAAACAGGAUUAGAUACCCUGGUAGUCCACGCCGUAAACGAUGAGUACUAGGUGUAGGAGGUAUCGACCCCUUCUGUGCCGCAGUUAACACAAUAAGUACUCCGCCUGGGAAGUACGAUCGCAAGAUUAAAAACCUUAAAGGAAUUUGACGGGGGUCAUAGCUGUUUUCCU